Molecule: ribosomal RNA, 468 nt
Filed under: uncultured bacterium
Lineage: Bacteria
Description: partial 16S ribosomal RNA
Rfam family: Bacterial small subunit ribosomal RNA
Source: RNAcentral
GACGAACGCUGGCGGCGUGCUUAACACAUGCAAGUCGAACGGAAAGGCCCUGCUUUUGUGGGGUGCUCGAGUGGCGAACGGGUGAGUAACACGUGAGUAACCUGCCCUUGACUUUGGGAUAACUUCAGGAAACUGGGGCUAAUACCGUAUAGGAGCUCCUGCUGCAUGGUGGGGGUUGGAAAGUUUCGGCGGUUGGGGAUGGACUCGCGGCUUAUCAGCUUGUUGGUGGGGUAGUGGCUUACCAAGGCUUUGACGGGUAGCCGGCCUGAGGGGGUGGACGGCCACAAUGGGACUGAGGUACGGCGCAGACUCCUACGGGAGGCAGCAGUGGGGAAUAUUGCACAGUGAGCGGAAGCCUGAUGCAGCGACGCCGCGUGCGGGAUGACGGCCUUCGGGUUGUGAACCGCUUUCGCCUGUGACGAAGCGUGAGUGACGGUAAUGGAUAAAGAAGCACCGGCUAACUACGUG